GACGUAGGGCGCGAGCGUGUCCGGAUUUAUUGGGCGUAAAGCGUGCGUAGGUGGUGAGUUAAGUCUGUCGUGAAAGCCCCGGGCUCAACCUGGGAAUGGCGAUGGAUACUGGCUCGCUAGAGUGCGGUAGAGGAGAGUGGAAUUCCCGGUGUAGCAGUGAAAUGCGUAGAGAUCGGGAGGAACAUCAGUUGCGAAGGCGGCUCUCUGGACCAGCACUGACACUGAGGCACGAAAGCGUGGGGAGCAAACAGG
Molecule: ribosomal RNA, 252 nt
Filed under: uncultured bacterium
Lineage: Bacteria
Description: partial 16S ribosomal RNA
Rfam family: Bacterial small subunit ribosomal RNA
Source: RNAcentral